RNAcentral lists this ribosomal RNA (452 nucleotides) under uncultured bacterium. RNAcentral's name for it is "bacterial SSU rRNA". It matches the Rfam family "Bacterial small subunit ribosomal RNA", at positions 340 to 786 of the family's 1533-position model. The record is from RNAcentral.
UACGGGAGGCAGCAGUGGGGAAUAUUGCACAAUGGGCGCAAGCCUGAUGCAGCCAUGCCGCGUGUAUGAAGAAGGCCUUCGGGUUGUAAAGCACUUUCAGUCGUGAGGAAGGUGUUAAGGUUAAUAACCUUAGCAAUUGACGUUAGCGACAGAAGAAGCACCGGCUAACUCCGUGCCAGCAGCCGCGGUAAUACGGAGGGUGCGAGCGUUAAUCGGAAUUACUGGGCGUAAAGGGCACGCAGGCGGUUAAUUAAGUUGGAUGUGAAAUCCCCGGGCUUAACCUGGGAAUGGCAUUCAAGACUGGUUAGCUAGAGUCUUGUAGAGGGGGUAGAAUUCCAUGUGUAGCGGUGAAAUGCGUAGAGAUGUGGAGGAAUACCGGUGGCGAAGGCGGCCCCUGGACAAAGGCUGACGCUCAUGUGCGAAAGCGUGGGGAGCAAACAGGAUUAGAUACC